Molecule: small RNA, 813 nt
Filed under: uncultured Gemmatimonadaceae bacterium
Lineage: Bacteria; Pseudomonadati; Gemmatimonadota; Gemmatimonadia; Gemmatimonadales; Gemmatimonadaceae
Description: bacterial SSU rRNA
Rfam family: Bacterial small subunit ribosomal RNA (bases 1-490)
Source: RNAcentral
AUGGCUGUCGUCAGCUCGUGUCGUGAGAUGUUGGGUUAAGUCCCGCAACGAGCGCAACCCUCGCUCCCAGUUGCCAGCGAGUCAUGUCGGGGACUCUGGGGGGACUGCCGGUGUCAAACCGGAGGAAGGUGGGGACGACGUCAAGUCAUCAUGGCCCUUACGUCCAGGGCGACACACGUGCUACAAUGGCCGGUACAGAGCGUCGCCAACUCGUGAGAGUGAGCCAAUCGCUAAAAGCCGGUCUAAGUUCGGAUUGUAGUCUGUAACUCGACUACAUGAAGCCGGAAUCGCUAGUAAUCGUGGAUCAGCCAUGCCACGGUGAAUACGUUCCCGGGCCUUGUACACACCGCCCGUCACGCCAUGGGAGCUGGAGGGACCCGAAGCCGGUGUGCCAACCGCAAGGAGGCAGCCGUCUAAGGUCAAUUCAGUGACUGGGGCGAAGUCGUAACAAGGUAGCCGUAGGGGAACCUGCGGCUGGAUCACCUCCUUUCUGGAACGCCGAGUAGCCGGCCGUAGUUUGGGCCGGGUGAAAGGCCUCCUAGUCGCCCGCACUUCUCACCUCACCGGUUGAUUACUUAGCUAAGCCGCGAGCCUUUGGGCUCGAGGCGAACGCUCUUUGACAACUGACGGAAUGCAUGGAUGGAAAUUGGAGUCGAGGAUCACCGUAGUUUCUUCUAAUUGAGAUCAAGCACAAUACGGCGCACGGUGGAUGCCUUGGCACCGAGAGGCGAUGAAGGACGUGGUAAGCUGCGAUAAGCCUGGGGGAGCUGCACACAAGCUGUGAUCCCAGGAUUUCCGAAUGGGGAAACCCGG